UACGUAGGUGGCAAGCGUUAUCCGGAUUUAUUGGGCGUAAAGGGAACGCAGGCGGUCUUUUAAGUCUGAUGUGAAAACCUUCGGCUUAACCGGAGUAGUGCAUUGGAAACUGGGAAACUUGAGUGCAGAAGAGGAAAGUGGAAUUCCAUGUGUAGCGGUGAAAUGCGCAGAGAUAUGGAGGAACACCAGUGGCGAAGGCGACUUUCUGGUCUGUAACUGACGCUGAUGUGCGAAAGCGUGGGGAUCAAACAGG
RNAcentral lists this ribosomal RNA (253 nucleotides) under uncultured bacterium. RNAcentral describes it as "partial 16S ribosomal RNA". It matches the Rfam family "Bacterial small subunit ribosomal RNA", at positions 524 to 776 of the family's 1533-position model. The record is from RNAcentral.